RNAcentral lists this ribosomal RNA (465 nucleotides) under Vreelandella stevensii. RNAcentral describes it as "partial 16S ribosomal RNA". It matches the Rfam family "Bacterial small subunit ribosomal RNA", at positions 338 to 795 of the family's 1533-position model. The record is from RNAcentral. Lineage: Bacteria; Pseudomonadati; Pseudomonadota; Gammaproteobacteria; Oceanospirillales; Halomonadaceae.
CCUACGGGUGGCAGCAGUGGGGAAUAUUGGACAAUGGGGGGAACCCUGAUCCAGCCAUGCCGCGUGUGUGAAGAAGGCCCUCGGGUUGUAAAGCACUUUCAGUGAGGAAGAACGCCUGGUGGUUAAUACCCAUCAGGAAAGACAUCACUCACAGAAGAAGCACCGGCUAACUCCGUGCCAGCAGCCGCGGUAAUACGGAGGGUGCGAGCGUUAAUCGGAAUUACUGGGCGUAAAGCGCGCGUAGGUGGCUUGAUAAGCCGGUUGUGAAAGCCCCGGGCCCAACCUGGGAACGGCAUCCGGAACUGUCAAGCUAGAGUGCAGGAGAGGAAGGUAGAAUUCCCGGUGUAGCGGUGAAAUGCGUAGAGAUCGGGAGGAAUACCAGUGGCGAAGGCGGCCUUCUGGACUGACACUGACACUGAGGUGCGAAAGCGUGGGUAGCAAACAGGAUUAGAUACCCGAGUAGUC